AGUUCAGAUUGCAGGCUGCAACCCGCCUGCAUGAAGUCGGAAUUGCUAGUAAUCGCGGAUCAGCAUGCCGCGGUGAAUACGUUCCCGGGCCUUGUACACACCGCCCGUCACACCAUGGGAACCGGUAAUACCCGAAGUCAGUAGUCCAACCUCGUGAGGACGCUGCCGAAGGUAGGAUUGGCGACUGGGGUGAAGUCGUAACAAGGUACC
This 210-nucleotide ribosomal RNA is filed under the name uncultured bacterium. RNAcentral's name for it is "partial 16S ribosomal RNA". It matches the Rfam family "Bacterial small subunit ribosomal RNA", at positions 1290 to 1500 of the family's 1533-position model. The record is from RNAcentral.